RNAcentral lists this unclassified non-coding RNA (210 nucleotides) under Hevea brasiliensis (rubber tree). Lineage: Eukaryota; Viridiplantae; Streptophyta; Magnoliopsida; Malpighiales; Euphorbiaceae. The record is from RNAcentral.
GCAGAAUGUGGACGGUAAAUUUUGAUAUUAAUGGCUUACUGGUGUCAUCUCUUAGGUCCUCUUCCAUUUCAAAUUGUUUGACAUACUCUUAUUGGUUGUUUGAUUUGUUGCCAAAUUAACUAUAUUAUCAUCUCUGGUUAGAUGGAAUAAAAUGAAUUAUAGAGGUAAGUCUACAACUAUUAAACGAGAUGGCUAGAAGAUGCUUUUAAU